Molecule: ribosomal RNA, 402 nt
Filed under: uncultured bacterium
Lineage: Bacteria
Description: bacterial SSU rRNA
Rfam family: Bacterial small subunit ribosomal RNA
Source: RNAcentral
UGGGGAAUAUUGCACAACGGGCGAAAGCCUGAUGCAGCAACGCCGCGUGAGUGAUGAAGGCCUUCGGGUUGUAAAGCUCUGUCUUCUGGGACGAUAAUGACGGUACCAGAGGAGGAAGCCACGGCUAACUACGUGCCAGCAGCCGCGGUAAUACGUAGGUGGCAAGCGUUGUCCGGAUUUACUGGGCGUAAAGGAUGCGUAGGCGGAUACUUAAGUCAGAUGUGAAAAUCCCGGGCUUAACUUGGGAACUGCAUUUGAAACUGGGUAUCUAGAGUGCGGGAGAGGAAAGUGGAAUUCCUAGUGUAGCGGUGAAAUGCGUAGAGAUUAGGAAGAACACCAGUGGCGAAGGCGACUUUCUGGACCGUAACUGACGCUGAGGCAUGAAAGCGUGGGGAGCAAACA